CUGGAAACGUAGACAAUUGGUUAAAAAUGGAAUUGAUCUCAUUUUGAAACAUCGUUUUGAUGGACUGGAUUUGAGUUGGGAUAUUCCAAUAGAAAGAUUCGAUCCAAAUCUUCAUUUGCAAUUCGUGAAGGAAUUGAAGGAACAUUUGCAAUGGAACCGACUAUUACUCUCCGGAAAAAUCAAUGCAGACAACGAAACAUUGAAUAAUGGCGAUUAUUUGUCAGCUUUAUCUGGUCAACUUGAUUUGUUGCUGGUUUAAAUUUCGGAGGUCUCAAACUCGACACUGCCUAUAGGAAAAAACGUUAUUUGGGC
Molecule: long non-coding RNA, 312 nt
Organism: Sitodiplosis mosellana (orange wheat blossom midge)
Lineage: Eukaryota; Metazoa; Arthropoda; Insecta; Diptera; Cecidomyiidae
Exons: 3
Source: RefSeq, a predicted model, not a curated record